GACGAAGGGAGCGAGCGUUGUUCGGAAUCACUGGGCUUAAAGAGUACGUAGGCGGACUGUCAAGCAUCUUGUGAAAUCCCUCGGCUCAACCGAGGAAUAGCAGGGUGAACUGGCAGUCUUGAGGCAGGUAGAGGCAACUGGAACUCAUGGUGGAGCGGUGGAAUGCGUAGAUAUCAUGGGGAACGCCAAUGGUGAAGACAAGUUGCUGGGCCUGUCCUGACGCUGAGGUACGAAAGCGUGGGUAGCGAACGGG
RNAcentral lists this ribosomal RNA (253 nucleotides) under uncultured bacterium. RNAcentral's name for it is "partial 16S ribosomal RNA". It matches the Rfam family "Bacterial small subunit ribosomal RNA", at positions 524 to 776 of the family's 1533-position model. The record is from RNAcentral.